CCCCAGGCGGAGUGCUUAAUGCGUUAGCUGCAGCACUAAGGGGCGGAAACCCCCUAACACUUAGCACUCAUCGUUUACGGCGUGGACUACCAGGGUAUCUAAUCCUGUUUGAUCCCCACGCUUUCGCACAUCAGCGUCAGUUACAGACCAGAAAGUCGCCUUCGCCACUGGUGUUCCUCCAUAUCUCUGCGCAUUUCACCGCUACACAUGGAAUUCCACUUUCCUCUUCUGCACUCAAGUUUUCCAGUUUCCAAUGACCCUCCACGGUUGAGCCGUGGGCUUUCACAUCAGACUUAAAAAACCGCCUACGCGCGCUUUACGCCCAAUAAUUCCGGAUAACGCUUGCCACCUACGUAUUACCGCGGCUGCUGGCACGUAGUUAGCCGUGGCUUUCUGAUUAGGUACCGUCAAGAUGUGCACAGUUACUUACACAUAUGUUCUUCCCUAAUAACAGAGUUUUACGAUCCGAAGACCUUCAUCACUCACGCGGCGUUGCUCCGUCAGGCUUUCGCCCAUUGCGGAAGAUUCCCUACUGCUGCCUCCCGUAGGAGUCUGGACCGUGUCUCA
Molecule: ribosomal RNA, 567 nt
Filed under: uncultured Staphylococcus sp.
Lineage: Bacteria; Bacillati; Bacillota; Bacilli; Caryophanales; Staphylococcaceae
Description: partial 16S ribosomal RNA
Source: RNAcentral